RNAcentral lists this ribosomal RNA (274 nucleotides) under uncultured bacterium. RNAcentral describes it as "partial 16S ribosomal RNA". It matches the Rfam family "Bacterial small subunit ribosomal RNA", at positions 523 to 796 of the family's 1533-position model. The record is from RNAcentral.
AUACGGAGGGUGCAAGCGUUACUCGGAAUCACUGGGCGUAAAGCGCGCGCAGGCGGGCUGAUAAGUUGGAUGUGAAAGACUACGGCUCAACCGUAGAACUGCAUCCAAAACUGUCAGUCUAGAGUGUGGGAGAGGAAGAUGGAAUUAGUUGUGUAGGGGUAAAAUCCGUAGAGAUAACUAGGAAUACCAAAAGCGAAGGCAAUCUUCUGGAACACUACUGACGCUGAGGCGCGAAGGCGUGGGGAGCAAACAGGAUUAGAAACCCCAGUAGUCC